GAUGAACGCUGGCGGCGUGCCUAAUACAUGCAAGUCGAGCGAACGGACGAGACGCUUGCUUCUCUGAUGUUAGCGGCGGACGGGUGAGUAACACGUGGAUAACCUACCUAUAAGACUGAGAUAACUUCGGGAAACCGGAGCUAAUCCCGGAUAAUAUUUUGAACCGCAUGGUUCAAAAGUGAAAGACGGUCUUGCUGUCACUUAUAGAUGGAUCCGCGCUGCAUUAGCUAGUUGGUAAGGUAACGGCUUACCAAGGCAACGAUGCAUAGCCGACCUGAGAGGGUGAUCGGCCACACUGGAACUGAGACACGGUCCAGACUCCUACGGGAGGCAGCAGUAGGGAAUCUGCCGCAAUGGGCGAAAGCCUGACGGAGCAACGCCGCGUGAGUGACGAAGGUCUUCGGAUCGUAAAACUCUGUUAUUAGGGAAGAACAGAUGUGUAAGUAACUGUGCACAUCUUGACGGUACCUAAUCAGAAAGCCACGGCUAACUACGUG
Molecule: ribosomal RNA, 497 nt
Filed under: uncultured bacterium
Lineage: Bacteria
Description: partial 16S ribosomal RNA
Rfam family: Bacterial small subunit ribosomal RNA
Source: RNAcentral